RNAcentral lists this transfer RNA (67 nucleotides) under Lasionycteris noctivagans (Silver-haired bat). RNAcentral describes it as "tRNA-Lys". It matches the Rfam family "tRNA". Rfam says of the family: Transfer RNA (tRNA) molecules are approximately 80 nucleotides in length. Their secondary structure includes four short double-helical elements and three loops (D, anti-codon, and T loops). Further hydrogen bonds mediate the characteristic L-shaped molecular structure. tRNAs have two regions of fundamental functional importance: the anti-codon, which is responsible for specific mRNA codon recognition, and the 3' end, to which the tRNAs corresponding amino acid is attached (by aminoacyl-tRNA synthetases). tRNAs cope with the degeneracy of the genetic code in two manners: having more than one tRNA (with a specific anti-codon) for a particular amino acid; and 'wobble' base-pairing, i.e. permitting non-standard base-pairing at the 3rd anti-codon position. Lineage: Eukaryota; Metazoa; Chordata; Mammalia; Chiroptera; Vespertilionidae. The record is from RNAcentral.
CAUUAAGAAGCUAAAUAGCACUAACCUUUUAAGUUAGAGAUUGGAGGAUUACAGCCUCCCUUAAUGA